RNAcentral lists this ribosomal RNA (310 nucleotides) under Bacillus sp. (in: firmicutes). RNAcentral describes it as "Bacillus sp. (in: Bacteria) partial 16S ribosomal RNA". It matches the Rfam family "Bacterial small subunit ribosomal RNA", at positions 132 to 431 of the family's 1533-position model. Lineage: Bacteria; Bacillati; Bacillota; Bacilli; Caryophanales; Bacillaceae. The record is from RNAcentral.
GUAAGACUGGGAUAACUCCGGGAAACCGGGGCUAAUACCGGAUGGUUGUUUGAACCGCAUGGUUCAAACAUAAAAGGUGGCUUCGGCUACCACUUACAUCUUCCUAACCGCGGCGCAUUAGCUAGUUGGUGAGGUAACGGGGGGGGGGGGGGGGACGAUGCGUAGCCGACCUGAGAGGGUGAUCGGCCACACUGGGACUGAGACACGGCCCAGACUCCUACGGGAGGCAGCAGUAGGGAAUCUUCCGCAAUGGACGAAAGUCUGACGGAGCAACGCCGCGUGAGUGAUGAAGGUUUUCGGAUCCUAAAGC